This is a long non-coding RNA of Gallus gallus (chicken), 530 nucleotides long. Lineage: Eukaryota; Metazoa; Chordata; Aves; Galliformes; Phasianidae. The record is from Ensembl.
AAGAAAAAAAAGCAUUAUGUAAGGUUUAAAAGACUGGAAUCGAUUGAGGGCAAAACACUAUGGUUAUUUUAAAAAGAAUAUUUUUUCUUCCCACAGAUUCUCAAGGGAACAUUGCUGUCUUACUACAGUUGAUUUCACUUUAUCCAUCCUUAUGUAUAGGAAGAUCUCUAUCCUGUCAUUCAGAAAGUGAGGAAUGUUUCUCAUCCUACAGCUACAUUCCUCUGAGAAAUUGAUCCUACCACCUACUUCAUCCUGUGGAAUUUCAGCACAGUGCUAACUCUCAGUGAAUGUGUUUAUUGUAUGGGAAUUGAUAAGUCAUGGCCUGAACCAAUGAUUGAGCACCUGAUGAAGGGACACAGCCAGCUCAGGGAUCAUGAGUGAAAACAAUUCACCUGUGUGACUGGAAGGGCUGGAACCAGGUUUCAUCCUUCCCUCAGCGUCAUUUACAUGCUGGCUGCCCCAAGGGAUGGAUCUCUACUUGGAGAUCCCUCCUUUUGGAGUAUUUGGUGAGCCCCGAUCUUUGGGAUAGG